CCGGCUCCUCUCCCACCCCGCCCCCUCGGAGCUCGCACCUGGACAGAACGGCUGCAGAGAUUAUAUGAGCAUUGCAGCUACAGAGAGGGGUUUACCAUGGCACCUCUUGCAGCUACUGGGUUACAGAGAGGGACCAUCAGACUGCGGGCGCGCUGGCUGAAGCCUCGGUGGUUUUGCCAGUACCUGUGAUGAACCAUCAAGGAUGCUUUUUGUCCUUCUGAGCCCUGGUUUAACAUCACAGAGGAACAGGAAGUGACCCAUCCUGACCCCAGGACACCACAGGCAACUGGACCUCUGAGCCCCAAGAGGGGGGUGAGGGGCAACUGCAAGCAAUCAUGAUGGUGUUUGAGCCACUGGGUUCUGGGGGAAGACAUUUACCACUCAGGACAUAGGACACAGAUACAGAGUGACCCAGGGCACAGAUAAAGAAUCACCAGUCAACAGAUGAGAGGAUGCUAGGGAAAUUGCCAGACUGCAGCUUUUAGCUGAUUAACCUGUUUCUGAAUUCCAAAUCCCUUACCUACACUUUUUCCUCCUUAUAAAAAAUGCUGAUUUGAAAUGAAAUGUAAGACAGUCUUUUAGGGUACAUAACCCGCUGUACUCUCAGGUCACCCACUAUAUGAAUAAAGUGCCCAU
Artibeus jamaicensis (Jamaican fruit-eating bat) is the source of this 636-nucleotide long non-coding RNA. RefSeq lists it as uncharacterized. Lineage: Eukaryota; Metazoa; Chordata; Mammalia; Chiroptera; Phyllostomidae. The transcript is spliced from 4 exons. The record is from RefSeq and is a predicted model, not a curated record.